CCGCCGGAAUCCCGGCCACGAGAGAGAGAAGAAAAGGGCCCACCCAGCUGAGCAGCGGCGGGCUGGCAAGUCGGAGUGAUGCCGGUGCGCUUUGGAAAGCGCGCCAUGCGUAAAAGUACCCGGGGCGCACCGCCGGGAUGAACUCCGAGGUGGCGGGCGGCCAGGGCGCGCCGUCCCUGCCUCCGGCUUGGCUUGGCGAGGCGAGGCGGCUGGGAAAUCCAGAAAUUCCACAGACCUGGGAGGAAAUUUCCAUUCACUGUGACAGGGGAACAUGGAUUCUCGGUGGGCCCAGUUCUCUCAGAUUGGGAGGCACCAGUUUCAAGAUUCUGGAGAGGGGGGGUCUCCAAAAGCUCUGACUUCUAACCUUGACCUUGAAAUUCCCUGCAAUGAGCCAUUCCUCAAAGGUAGCCCUUCACCUCCCCUUGAAGGUGCUAGGAAAGAAGGCAAAGGGAAUCACAGUUCUCCUCUCCAGAUCAUUCGGCAGAAAGUUCUCCCAGAUGAGGUUGGCAGGGCGAUGGCAGCCACGGUAGCAUUUCUCUUUGGACACAGUUUUAAUUAAACCCGGCCUGGGGAUGUGCAACGGCAAUUGAAAGACAACAUUUUCAUAUGGACCAAGGAUCUGUGAUAUUUACCCUUCAAAAUAAUCAGAGUGGGGACAUUCUCUCUCCCUCUGUGUGUGUGUGUGUGUAUGUGUCUGUCUGUCUGUCUGUCUCUCUGUUUCUCUCUCUCUCUCUAUCUCUCUGUGUGUCUCUCUGUCUCUCCCUCUCUCUCUCAACAGGAAUGUAAUCUUCUUACGGGUUGCUUUAUCCCUUUACAAAAAGCAAAUUUUUCUUUUCAAAUGAAAAAAAAAAUCCCUCUGAAAGCACAUUUAACCAACAAUCACAGAAAUGGGAAGCCCCCCCCCCCAAAAAAAUCCGGGCUGCAUUGAUGCUGCACCCCAAAUGCCACUGAGUUACGUGAAUCAAGUUCUGGGCACCAGCAAUACUUGUGGGUCCUGCUUCUCCGAGGCAUCUUCCUAGCCUGGGCCAAGAUGAGCAGGAGAAAUGCUGGCUCCUUCCCCAAAGAAUAGAGCCAGUUGAGGAUGAGAUCCUGCUCCAUGGGUUCUUGAAAAAUGGGGGGAGAGUCGGGGCCCUCCAUCCUGACCUGUGUUGGGGACCAGCAAACCUGCUUGGAUGCCUCUUCUGGGACUUCGGCUGCCCAUUUCUGGGAAGAGAAGGCUGGGAGGUAGAGGCACCCUUAGCUUCCACACCAGGCCCAUCCUCGGCUUCCUUGGGGAGGGGAGCUUGGAGAAGCAGAAGGCAACCUGAUGAGGCCCACAGGCUGCCUCUUUUCCCCACUUAAUUCCCAUGUUGGGGCCCAGGCGUCACCGCAGCCACUGGACCAGGGUUCCCCCUGCAACAGGAGGAGGAGGAGGAUGGGGUGGGGGGUUUGCAAGCCCUGCUCCCCUCCUCUUCAGCUGUCUCCUGUUUCUGACAUUUAUAGCGUAAUAACGCCCUGUGCGUAUAAAAUUCCUAAAUAGAUUUACAUAAUUUAUUGCGACUCUUUUGUGGUUUAUUUAAUGCUUGGCUGAUUCUUGCUCAGCUUAAUGCACUACCAUUGUGCGAGACGCACCAAGAGGGUUUGUUUUACAGUUUUUAAUCAAGGCCUCCCGAACAUCUGCUCGCUGCAGUUGCUGAUGGGGAAUUCCAGGAGAGGCUGGGCGAGGGGCGAGAGGGCUUCAAAGCUCUGCCCGCUGCCUGGCAGCCUUCCAGGGGCCUCCUUCAGUCCUGGCUGCCUUUCUGCAGGAAGCAAAGCAGCAACGGAGACCCUCCUCGGCAAAAGGCCCCAAUCCUGGCUUGCAUUCCUGGUUUGUAUAAAACCUUCCCUCGGAGAAGAAGAGGAGUGGAGAAGCCAAACUUUGCCUCUCACUGAAUGCUAGUUUGCAUCUGGUGGAAGGAAUGGAGGGGGGGGGAAAGAAGGAAGGAAGGAAGGAAGGAAGGAAGGGGAAAGCAAGGGAAGGAAAAGAAAGAAGGAGGGAGGGAGGGAGAGAGGGAGCUGUGCAAAAUAGCUCUUAUUUGUAGUCUAAACUGGUUCCAACCUCUCUGUCAUCUCAUGUCUUACCUGAGAGACAAAAUUUGCAGGUACGGGGAAAAGAGAACCUUGACAAUUGAUAAUGUUCAACACUGAGGCAGCGACUCCAGUUUGUGGGAUGACAAUCUCUGGCCACAGCACAAAAGGAAAGGAGGGGAGGAGGGAGGAAGAAAAAACCAUAAAGAAAUGGAGGAAGGAGUUCUUCAGGAAAAAGCCCCCUUUCUCUUCUGCUCUUCCUGUGAAAGGCGAUGAUUUCUCCCUCUUCUCCACCUUGCUUGUGUAUCCUACUUUCAGCUCUCCUUCAAAGAUGCUAAUUGCGGACAGCAGAAGAACGACUCGGAGGGCAUUAUGGUGAAAUGGAGACAACCUUUAUAACUUACUGGAAAACCCAGUGGCUGUUUCCAGUCAUGGGUUGAAUUUAUGCAAGAUUGCUCAGAAAAAUGCACAACAAUUUCGACGGCUCACCAAUCUCCAAAAGGAAGGGUGACAUUGGACUCAAGUUUGGGAAGUGUAACAGCCCCUCCUGCUAAAAACCAUCCGAGGGCCCACUCUAGGAGGUAAACAUGGAGAAAUCAGGAUUUUUUUCUGACCCAGGCCAAAUUCGGUGCAAAAUAUUAUAACCGCUUGAACAUUUUAGAGCCCCUUGAGUUGUUACUCGUACAGAGGGACAGUGGCAAAACUUUUUGUGGCUGGGCCUGGUAGAGUUUAAUUUUCUAAUGGACGGCUUUCUUGCCAUUUUGUGUUAGCCAAAGAGAGAAAGGGGGAAGCAGAACAAGAAAGAAAGACUUUCUAUCAAGCCAGGAAGCUGCUGGCUUCAGCAGGAGGUGAGGUUAGUCAUGGAGAUGAGAAGACGCAGCGUGAGCUUUGCACACCCAAUCAAUAUAGCUUUGGGUGGAUUAAUCUCCCUGGAAGAUUCUCUGCCUGGUUUAAAUGCAGCUCUGCUUUUCUCAAGGGUUUAGAUGAUCUUCAGGCAAAAGAAAAUAAACAAAAAAAGUGGGGGGAGGAUUGAGGGAUUGGGCUGUUGGAAAAUGAAGUUUCUUUAGCUUUUAAUGGCUUGUCGGGAAGAUCAAGGAGGAAAGAGCUGCUUGUUGUGAUGUUUCUGAUUUUAACUGAAGUCAGAAUAGAGUUGGAAGGGAGCUUGGAGGUCUUCUAGUCCAGCCCCCUGCUCAAGCAGGAGAUCCUAUCCCAUUUCAGACAAGUGGCAGUGCAAUCUCUUCUUAAAAACCUCCAGUGAUGGAGCACCUACACAUUCUGGUGGCAAGCAGUUCCACUGGAUAAUUGUCCUCACUGUUAGGAAGUUUCUCCUUAAUUCCAGGUUGCUUCUCUCCUUGAUUAGUUUCCAGCCAUAGUUUCAGUGCAUUAUAUAUCCAGGAGAAGCAAAGCUUCAUCCUAGGUGAGGAAGAUGUUUCUCUUUCAAAGCCAUGAAGAAAUUCCUCCUCUUUUGGAUAAUGCAGAAGAGAUUUGGACAAAGUGGCCUUGGAAUCACCAUCGAACUUCUUACCUAUAGUCUGUCCUACUAUCGAAGCACCAUUGAGAGUGUCCUGACAUGCGGCAUUCUUGCAUGGUAUGGGAGCAGCUCUGUAGCGGACAGAAAAGCUCUACAGAGAAUCAUUAAAACUGCCCAGAAUAUCAUUGGGCUCCAGUUACCAGCCCUGGACGACAUCUUCGAAUCUCUCUGUUUGAGGAAGUUGCACAACAUUCUGAGAGACUCUUCCCAUCCUGCUUACAAUCUUUUUGGGCUGUUGCCUUCUGGCAGAAGAUACAGAACAAUUAAAACUUGGACCACACAUUUUCUGAAUAGUUUUUAUCCCAGAGCUAUAAUUGCACUCAACCAUGAACUAAAGGGCCUCCAUCAGGGAGCUGUUGGACAGCAUUACUUGGUCUGUUGUGUGGAUGUUUGGGUGCUUUAGGGGUGGGGAAUUCAUGGGGGGUGUUUGGAGAUUGUUAUAUAUGUUGGACCUGGUCUUUGGGUGUUAAGUGGAUUUGGUUGUAUGGGUAUACUGUGUAUAUACAGUACAUACAAUGACAAUGAAGUUAUUAUUAUUACCUCCCAAAUCCUAGAAUCCUUCCCGUUAAUAACAGAAUCCAGUGAAUAUGUUUUCAGCGUCAGUCAAAGCACUGCAGAAGUAUCUCAGCUGGUUUCUUUUGGCCUCCUAGCCUGGUUACUGGACUGCGCCUGCCUCCCUCCCUCCCUCUAGGCAUUUUCUCUUCUCCCAAGGACAAAUUGGAAGUGGGGUGGGGCAGGGGUGGGUUGUACUUAACCUUUACUACCGGUUCGCAAUGGGGCUGCGCACGCACGCUUCUGCACAUGCGCAGAAGCUCCCUGAUGAUGUUGGGGUCGGUGGGUAGAGCCUCCCACCAGUUUUACUACCGGUUCUUGCAAACCGGUCCGAACCGGUUUGCAACCAACCACUGGGGUGGGGGGUAUCCUACCACGCCAGGGUGGCCUGAGCCAAAGCAAACUUUGCUGCUGGAAAUCUACUCAGGCGCUCUCCUGGGGAAGCCUUGGCAGAAGAUAACAAGCGGCUGGUGCCAUCAGGAGCUAGGGAAGUGGCUGCCUUUGGCUUUUAAGAAGGCCAUGAAGAACUCGAUGUGCUGCUUCCUCUGCAGGUUUAGAGCACAGCCUUUCCGAGAGGGCCAAUUGCCUUGGAGUUGCCCUUCCCUUGCCAAAUUGACUCAGUCUCCUGUUGCUCCGGCCAGGCAAUGGACCUAUCAUGCAACAGAAAGAAGAGCAGGGGGUCUUCAUGGGGGGGGGUGUCUCUUUCGCCUUAGACCUUUUCUUCCACAGAGGAAUUAUUGAGUCUGUCAUCUGCACCUCUAUAACUGUCUGGUUUGGCUCUGCAACCCAACAAGACAAACCCAGACUUCAGAGGAUGAUUAGAACUGCAGAAAAAACAAUGGCUACCAACCUGCCUUCCAUUGAGGACCUGUGUACUGCACGACUCAAAAAGAGGGCUAUACAGACCCCUCACAUCCUGGACAUAAACUGUUUCAACUCCUACCCUCAAAACGAGGCUAUAGAGAACUGCACACCAGAACAACUAGACACAAGGACAGUUUUUUCCCAAACGCCAUCACUCUGCUUAAUAACUAAUUCCCACAACACUGUCAAACUAGUUACUAAGUCUGCACUACUAUUAAUCUUCUCAUCAUUCCCACCACCCAACUCCUUCCACUUAUGACUGUAUGACUCUAACUUUGUUGCUGGUAUCCUUAAGAUUCAUAUUGACUGUUUCCUAAUAUGAUUUGCUUGCUUAUUUGUACCCUAUGACUAUCAUUAAGUGUUGUACCUUAUGAUUCUUGACGAAUGUAUCUUGUCUUUUACGUACACCGAGGGCAUUUGCACCAAGACAUAUUCCUUGUGUGCCAAUAAAAAUUCUAUUCUAAUCUA
This is a long non-coding RNA of Pantherophis guttatus, 5461 nucleotides long. RefSeq lists it as uncharacterized. Lineage: Eukaryota; Metazoa; Chordata; Lepidosauria; Squamata; Colubridae. The record is from RefSeq and is a predicted model, not a curated record.